ACUUCCAUUGAGAGGUUUUGAUGAUGAAAUGAGGGCAGCAGUCGCACGGAAUCUGGAAGGAAGGGGAAUUGAUCUACACCCACAGACAAAUUUGACAGAGUUGAUAAAAACAGAGGAUGGCAUAAAAGUUAUCACGGAUCAUGGUGAAGAACUGAUAGCAGAUGUUGUACUGUUUGCCACUGGUAACUACAGACCUAUUUAGUUGUGUUUCUGAUAAUGGGGUUGGAAGUUAAUGCUACUUGUUACAAAUUGUAACUAAGUAAAGAAAAAAAUUAAUUAAAAACCACGAGCUCGUGCCUAGGCCAAAAAGAAAUUACUUUCAGUUUUUUUCAAUAUUUGAAUUGUGAAAUCGGAACUGGGACCUUCUGCUGAACACUGCAAUCCUUGGGAGGCAGGAAACUGUAGCAAAUAGCUAGGUAGGUACCUUAGGAACUGAACUCCAGGCCUCGUGGGAGCAAACCACAGGCCUCACCACUCGGCUAAACCCUCGGUGAUAGUCAGCCUGUCCCAUUUGAACACUUUAAUUAUGUAUUUACUCUUCUGUUGGUUGGAUAUAUUCCGCUAUGGUUUUAGCAAUUCACAUUGCAUCUUACAAGCCUUGGAUAAGACUCCCUUGUUGCCAAUGUUUUGAACAGCAUCUAGGGUUCCCUCCUUUGCUGGGUAAAGCAAUGUCAUUGGUCAUGGCUUGAUAUUGAGCUGUCCUGUUUAGCUUUUUUUUUCUUUUAUCUAAAUAAUUGUAUAAGUCACCCAGUGUUACAAUAGUGAAAACCUUUUCCUUUUCA
This is a non-coding RNA of Prunus avium (sweet cherry), 782 nucleotides long. Lineage: Eukaryota; Viridiplantae; Streptophyta; Magnoliopsida; Rosales; Rosaceae. The record is from RefSeq and is a predicted model, not a curated record.